This 401-nucleotide ribosomal RNA is filed under the name uncultured Proteocatella sp. Its description in RNAcentral is "bacterial SSU rRNA". It matches the Rfam family "Bacterial small subunit ribosomal RNA", at positions 355 to 774 of the family's 1533-position model. The record is from RNAcentral. Lineage: Bacteria; Bacillati; Bacillota; Clostridia; Peptostreptococcales; Filifactoraceae.
UGGGGAAUAUUGCACAAUGGGCGCAAGCCUGAUGCAGCAACGCCGCGUGAGUGAUGAAGGCCUUCGGGUCGUAAAACUCUGUCCUAAGGGAAGAUAAUGACGGUACCUUAGGAGGAAGCCCCGGCUAACUACGUGCCAGCAGCCGCGGUAAUACGUAGGGGGCAAGCGUUAUCCGGAAUUACUGGGCGUAAAGGGUGCGUAGGUGGCCUGACAAGUCAGGGGUCAAAGGCAACGGCUUAACCGUUGUAAGCCCUUGAAACUGUCGGGCUUGAGUUCAGGAGAGGAAAGCGGAAUUCCAAGUGUAGCGGUGAAAUGCGUAGAUAUUUGGAGGAACACCAGUGGCGAAGGCGGCUUUCUGGACUGAUACUGACACUGAGGCACGAAAGCGUGGGGAGCAAACA